GAUGAACGCUAGCGGCAGGCUUAACACAUGCAAGUCGAGGGGUAGAAAUAGCUUGCUAUUUUGAGACCGGCGCACGGGUGCGUAACGCGUAUGCAAUCUGCCUUUUACAGGGGAAUAGCCCAGAGAAAUUUGGAUUAAUGCCCCAUAGCGCUGCAGGGCGGCAUCGCCGAGCAGCUAAAGUCACAACGGUAAAAGAUGAGCAUGCGUCCCAUUAGCUAGUUGGUAAGGUAACGGCUUACCAAGGCGAUGAUGGGUAGGGGUCCUGAGAGGGAGAUCCCCCACACUGGUACUGAGACACGGACCAGACUCCUACGGGAGGCAGCAGUGAGGAAUAUUGGUCAAUGGGCGCAAGCCUGAACCAGCCAUGCCGCGUGCAGGAUGAAGCAUCUAUGGUGUGUAAACUGCUUUUAUACAGGAAGAAACACUCCCUCGUGAGGGAGCUUGACGGUACUGUAGGAAUAAGGAUCGGCUAACUCCGUGCCAGCAGCCGCGGUAAUACGGAGGAUCCAAGCGUUAUCCGGAAUCAUUGGGCUUAAAGGGUCCGUAGGCGGCCCUGUAAGUCAGUGGUGAAAUCUCCCCGCUCAACGGGGAAACGGCCAUUGAUACUGCAGGGCUUGAAUUAUUGGGAAGUAACUAGAAUAUGUAGUGUAGCGGUGAAAUGCUUAGAUAUUACAUGGAAUACCAAUUGCGAAGGCAGGUUACUAUCAAUACAUUGACGCUGAUGGACGAAAGCGUGGGUAGCGAACAGGAUUAGAUACCCUGGUAGUCCACGCCGUAAACGAUGGAUACUAGCUGUUCGGGGCAACCUGAGUGGCUAAGCGAAAGUGAUAAGUAUCCCACCUGGGGAGUACGUUCGCAAGAAUGAAACUCAAAGGAAUUGACGGGGGCCCGCACAAGCGGUGGAGCAUGUGGUUUAAUUCGAUGAUACGCGAGGAACCUUACCAGGGCUUAAAUGUAGUCUGACAGUUUUGGAAACAGAAUUUUCUUCGGACAGAUUACAAGGUGCUGCAUGGUUGUCGUCAGCUCGUGCCGUGAGGUGUCAGGUUAAGUCCUAUAACGAGCGCAACCCCUGUCGUUAGUUGCCAGCGAGUCAUGUCGGGAACUCUAACGAGACUGCCAGUGCAAACUGAGAGGAAGGUGGGGAUGACGUCAAAUCAUCACGGCCCUUACGCCCUGGGCUACACACGUGCUACAAUGGACGGUACAGAGAGCAGCCACUGGGCGACCAGGAGCGAAUCUACAAAACCGUUCACAGUUCGGAUCGGAGUCUGCAACUCGACUCCGUGAAGCUGGAAUCGCUAGUAAUCGGAUAUCAGCCAUGAUCCGGUGAAUACGUUCCCGGGCCU
This 1346-nucleotide ribosomal RNA is filed under the name uncultured bacterium. RNAcentral describes it as "bacterial SSU rRNA". It matches the Rfam family "Bacterial small subunit ribosomal RNA", at positions 28 to 1381 of the family's 1533-position model. The record is from RNAcentral.